UGGGGAAUAUUGGACAAUGGGCGAAGGCCUGAUCCAGCCAUGCCGCGUGAGUGAUGAAGGCCUUAGGGUUGUAAAGCUCUUUCGCCGGUGAAGAUAAUGACGGUAACCGGUAAAGAAGCCCCGGCUAACUUCGUGCCAGCAGCCGCGGUAAUACGAAGGGGGCUAGCGUUGUUCGGAAUUACUGGGCGUAAAGCGCGCGUAGGCGGGUCAUUAAGUCAGGGGUGAAAUCCCGAGGCUCAACCUCGGAAUUGCCUUUGAUACUGGUGACCUCGAGUCCGAGAGAGGUGAGUGGAACUCCGAGUGUAGAGGUGAAAUUCGUAGAUAUUCGGAAGAACACCAGUGACGAAGGCGGCUCACUGGCUCGGUACUGACGCUGAGGUGCGAAAGCGUGGGGAGCAAACAGGAUUAGAUACCCCCGUAGUCC
This 424-nucleotide ribosomal RNA is filed under the name uncultured prokaryote. RNAcentral describes it as "bacterial SSU rRNA". It matches the Rfam family "Bacterial small subunit ribosomal RNA", at positions 355 to 796 of the family's 1533-position model. The record is from RNAcentral.